RNAcentral lists this ribosomal RNA (253 nucleotides) under uncultured bacterium. RNAcentral describes it as "partial 16S ribosomal RNA". It matches the Rfam family "Bacterial small subunit ribosomal RNA", at positions 524 to 776 of the family's 1533-position model. The record is from RNAcentral.
UACGGAGGAUCCGAGCGUUAUCCGGAUUUAUUGGGUUUAAAGGGAGCGUAGGUGGAUUGUUAAGUCAGUUGUGAAAGUUUGCGGCUCAACCGUAAAAUUGCAGUUGAAACUGGCAGUCUUGAGUACAGUAGAGGUGGGCGGAAUUCGUGGUGUAGCGGUGAAAUGCUUAGAUAUCACGAAGAACUCCGAUUGCGAAGGCAGCUCACUGGACUGCAACUGACGCUGAGGCUCGAAAGCGUGGGGAGCAAACAGG